UGGUACUACAGAUGAGUGUUCCUGCAAUCUACUUCUACAAGUACCAACGUAUCAUACCUGAAUGAGGCGUAAUGAGAAAGCUUCGAAAUACGUAUUACAUCUACGGGAUCCCAAGUGGUGACAUAAACAACAUGUGCAUCAGCCUUAGGACCAGUGCAUGUUGGAUAAGACCAUUGCAGGUUGGAAUGGAUUUUGAGUCAACAAGUUCAAUAGCAAUUAGCAAGAAAGGUACGUCAUUCCACUGGACCCCCACAACUUCAGAAAUUGAAAACAAUGUUUGAUCAAGUUCCAGUGAUUCAAGAAAUACUUCAAAAUUUGGACUUGGAUAGAAUCAUCAAUGCCC
Molecule: long non-coding RNA, 343 nt
Organism: Ostrea edulis (European flat oyster)
Lineage: Eukaryota; Metazoa; Mollusca; Bivalvia; Ostreida; Ostreidae
Exons: 3
Source: RefSeq, a predicted model, not a curated record